This 613-nucleotide ribosomal RNA is filed under the name Geastrum sp. UOC DAMIA D47. RNAcentral's name for it is "eukaryotic LSU rRNA". The stretch from base 164 to 318 matches the Rfam family "5.8S ribosomal RNA". The record is from RNAcentral. Lineage: Eukaryota; Fungi; Basidiomycota; Agaricomycetes; Geastrales; Geastraceae.
AAACAGGGUCUUGAGACUACAAUCUUUUGUGUGCUCGACCUUGAACUCUUGCAUCCACACACACCUUUGUGCACUAUGGGGACUGAACUGGUCCCCCAUUUUUACAUUAAACACCUAGUUAUAUGCAUGUUUUUUUUACAUACUCUACGGAGUAAAAUGUAACAACUUUCAACAACGGAUCUCUUGGCUUUCGCAUCGAUGAAGAACGCAGCGAACGUGCGAAACGUAAUGUGAAUUGCAGAAUUCAGUGAAUCAUCGAAUCUUUGAACGCAUCUUGCGCUCCUUGGUAUUCCGAGGAGCAUGCCUGUUUGAGUGUCAUGAAAUCAUCUCAAUUUCAAUCUUGUUAUUGAAAUUGGACUUGGGUGUUGUUGUGAGUCACACAACUCAUCCUAAAUGCAUUAGCGAUCUGUCUGUGAUCACACACAAUGUGAUAAGUAAAAAGCAUUGUUACAAUCGAGUCAGGAUUGCUUCGAACCGUCUGAAAGGACAUUCUUUCAUGUCAUUUGACCUCAGAUCAGGCAGGACUACCCGCUGAACUUAAGCAUAUCAAUAAGCGGAGGAAAAGAAACUAACAAGGAUUCCCCUAGUAACGGCGAGUGAAGAGGGAAGAGCU